This 1316-nucleotide ribosomal RNA is filed under the name Klebsiella pneumoniae. RNAcentral describes it as "bacterial SSU rRNA". It matches the Rfam family "Bacterial small subunit ribosomal RNA", at positions 224 to 1533 of the family's 1533-position model. The record is from RNAcentral. Lineage: Bacteria; Pseudomonadati; Pseudomonadota; Gammaproteobacteria; Enterobacterales; Enterobacteriaceae.
GAUGUGCCCAGAUGGGAUUAGCUAGUAGGUGGGGUAACGGCUCACCUAGGCGACGAUCCCUAGCUGGUCUGAGAGGAUGACCAGCCACACUGGAACUGAGACACGGUCCAGACUCCUACGGGAGGCAGCAGUGGGGAAUAUUGCACAAUGGGCGCAAGCCUGAUGCAGCCAUGCCGCGUGUGUGAAGAAGGCCUUCGGGUUGUAAAGCACUUUCAGCGGGGAGGAAGGCGUUAAGGUUAAUAACCUUGGCGAUUGACGUUACCCGCAGAAGAAGCACCGGCUAACUCCGUGCCAGCAGCCGCGGUAAUACGGAGGGUGCAAGCGUUAAUCGGAAUUACUGGGCGUAAAGCGCACGCAGGCGGUCUGUCAAGUCGGAUGUGAAAUCCCCGGGCUCAACCUGGGAACUGCAUUCGAAACUGGCAGGCUAGAGUCUUGUAGAGGGGGGUAGAAUUCCAGGUGUAGCGGUGAAAUGCGUAGAGAUCUGGAGGAAUACCGGUGGCGAAGGCGGCCCCCUGGACAAAGACUGACGCUCAGGUGCGAAAGCGUGGGGAGCAAACAGGAUUAGAUACCCUGGUAGUCCACGCCGUAAACGAUGUCGAUUUGGAGGUUGUGCCCUUGAGGCGUGGCUUCCGGAGCUAACGCGUUAAAUCGACCGCCUGGGGAGUACGGCCGCAAGGUUAAAACUCAAAUGAAUUGACGGGGGCCCGCACAAGCGGUGGAGCAUGUGGUUUAAUUCGAUGCAACGCGAAGAACCUUACCUGGUCUUGACAUCCACAGAACUUUCCAGAGAUGGAUUGGUGCCUUCGGGAACUGUGAGACAGGUGCUGCAUGGCUGUCGUCAGCUCGUGUUGUGAAAUGUUGGGUUAAGUCCCGCAACGAGCGCAACCCUUAUCCUUUGUUGCCAGCGGUCCGGCCGGGAACUCAAAGGAGACUGCCAGUGAUAAACUGGAGGAAGGUGGGGAUGACGUCAAGUCAUCAUGGCCCUUACGACCAGGGCUACACACGUGCUACAAUGGCAUAUACAAAGAGAAGCGACCUCGCGAGAGCAAGCGGACCUCAUAAAGUAUGUCGUAGUCCGGAUUGGAGUCUGCAACUCGACUCCAUGAAGUCGGAAUCGCUAGUAAUCGUAGAUCAGAAUGCUACGGUGAAUACGUUCCCGGGCCUUGUACACACCGCCCGUCACACCAUGGGAGUGGGUUGCAAAAGAAGUAGGUAGCUUAACCUUCGGGAGGGCGCUUACCACUUUGUGAUUCAUGACUGGGGUGAAGUCGUAACAAGGUAACCGUAGGGGAACCUGCGGUUGGAUCACCUCCUUA